CUUAGUUAUUUGCUUCUAACUCAUAGAAUGUACUGGAAGUCACAGUAUGUGACUUCUGAGGCUGGAUCACAACAGGCGCUAUUUCUGCCUUGCCUUCUUGGAUUGCUUUCAACAGGGGGUCACUCAUCACUGUGUUUCAGGACAUCCAAGCUGCAUGAGGAGAGGCUCACGUAGGGGGAAACCGAGGUUUGCAGCAGCGACUCGCCAGGCGUGUGAGUGAGCCAACCUGGAAGCAGAUCCUCCAGUUCCAGUGAAGUGUGUGGAUGACAUCAGCUCCAGCCUUCAUUUUGACCACAACUCAUGAGAUGCCCUAAGCCAG
Molecule: long non-coding RNA, 319 nt
Filed under: Homo sapiens (human)
Lineage: Eukaryota; Metazoa; Chordata; Mammalia; Primates; Hominidae
Description: non-protein coding lnc-MED4-8:1
Source: RNAcentral